RNAcentral lists this ribosomal RNA (167 nucleotides) under Pseudanthias sp. BENI-HANADAI. RNAcentral's name for it is "partial 12S rRNA". The record is from RNAcentral. Lineage: Eukaryota; Metazoa; Chordata; Actinopteri; Perciformes; Anthiadidae.
CACCGCGGUUAUACGAGGGACCCAAGUUGAUGGCCUCCGGCGUAAAGCGUGGUUAAGAUGAAACAUGUAUUAAAGCCGAACGCAAGCUACGCUGUUAUACGCAUACGAAAAUAGAAGCCCAAUUACGAAAGUAGCUUUAUAUAACUGACUCCACGAAAGCCAGGGCA